GCUCGUGUCGUGAGAAUGUUGGGUUAAGUCCCGUAACGAGCGCAACCCUUGUCCUUAGUUACCAGCACGUUAUGGUGGGCACUCUAAGGAGACUGCCGGUGACAACCGGAGGAAGGUGGGGAUGACGUCAAGUCAUCAUGGCCCUUACGGCCUGGGCUACACACGUGCUACAAUGGUCGGUACAAAGGGUUGCCAAGCCGCGAGGUGGAGCUAAUCCCAUAAAACCGAUCGUAGUCCGGAUCGCAGUCUGCAACUCGACUGCGUGAAGUCGGAAUCGCUAGUAAUCGUGAAUCAGAAUGUCACGGUGAAUACGUUCCCGGGCCUU
This 325-nucleotide ribosomal RNA is filed under the name uncultured Pseudomonas sp. RNAcentral describes it as "bacterial SSU rRNA". It matches the Rfam family "Bacterial small subunit ribosomal RNA", at positions 1058 to 1382 of the family's 1533-position model. Lineage: Bacteria; Pseudomonadati; Pseudomonadota; Gammaproteobacteria; Pseudomonadales; Pseudomonadaceae. The record is from RNAcentral.